CAAUGGGCGCAAGCCUGAUGGAGCAACACCGCGUGAGUGAAGAAGGGUUUCGGCUCGUAAAGCUCUGUUGUUAAAGAAGAACACGUAUGAGAGUAACUGUUCAUACGUUGACGGUAUUUAACCAGAAAGUCACGGCUAACUACGUGCCAGCAGCCGCGGUAAUACGUAGGUGGCAAGCGUUAUCCGGAUUUAUUGGGCGUAAAGAGAGAGCAGGCGGUUUUCUAAGUCUGAUGUGAAAGCCUUCGGCUUAACCGGAGAAGUGCAUCGGAAACUGGAUAACUUGAGUGCAGAAGAGGGUAGUGGAACUCCAUGUGCAGCGGUGGAAUGCGUAGAUAUAUGGAAGAACACCAGUGGCGAAGGCGGCUACCUGGUCUGCAACUGACGCUGAGACUCGAAAGCAUGGGUAGCGAACAGGAUUAGAUACCCUGGUAG
This 432-nucleotide ribosomal RNA is filed under the name uncultured bacterium. RNAcentral describes it as "bacterial SSU rRNA". It matches the Rfam family "Bacterial small subunit ribosomal RNA", at positions 369 to 793 of the family's 1533-position model. The record is from RNAcentral.